AUGUGAAAGGCCAACCACGCAUGAAAGAUUCCCUAGAUGUCUGCAUCUAUGAAAAAGUAAUCUUUUAGGCGUUUUUUUUCUCUCCUGUUUUCCAAACUAAUAUAUGUAUUUACUAGGUAUACAUCGUUGGGAUAACUUGCGGAGACGCGGGAAUAGCUGUAAAGCUUACAUUUUCCACCACUCGUGCUGGAAAGAAUAUUGUAUGGGAAUAUUCACCAAGGCUAACCACCGGCACCAUCGUCGCACUGACCCCGGCAAAUGACAUGUUCAAAUCAAAAUGCAUUGUCGCUGUUGUUGCUGCUAGACCUCUGGACGGCUUGAAAAAGAAUCCAGCGGAAAUAGAUAUAUUCUAUACACGAGCUGAGGAUGCAGAGUUUGACCCCCAACUGGAGUUUGUGAUGAUAGAAGCCAGAAGCGGCUAUUAUGAGGCAUCGCGGCAUACAUUAACCGCGUUGCAAAAAAUGGCAAGGGAAGGCUUCCCAUUCUCGGAAUACUUGUGUGGUCUUCAGCCUAAUAUUGAACCCCCCGAAUACAUCAAGCUGAAUCCGUUCAUUGACAUGUCUGCUAUCGGUGAAGAGGGUGAAAAAAUGUAUGUUCUUAACAACUGGCCACCUCCUCCUGAAUCUCUGGAUUCUUCUCAGUGGAAUGCGCUACGCCAAAUUCUCACGAAGAGGUUGGCUAUCGUACAAGGUCCACCGGGAACCGGCAAAACUCAUGUCUCCGUCAUUGCAUUGAGGUUGCUCCUUGCAACCAUACCCUCCACUGAUCCACCCAUUAUCAUCGCGGCUCAGACAAAUCACGCACUGGACCAGUUGCUUCGCCAUGUUGCGUUGUUCGAAAUGAAUUAUGUUCGGCUUGGUGGAAGGAGCACGGAUAUGGACAUAAAGAAGCGGACU
RNAcentral lists this small RNA (896 nucleotides) under Histoplasma ohiense. Its description in RNAcentral is "hypothetical lncRNA". Lineage: Eukaryota; Fungi; Ascomycota; Eurotiomycetes; Onygenales; Ajellomycetaceae. The record is from RNAcentral.